This 625-nucleotide long non-coding RNA is filed under the name Pan troglodytes (chimpanzee). Its description in RNAcentral is "lincRNA". The record is from RNAcentral. Lineage: Eukaryota; Metazoa; Chordata; Mammalia; Primates; Hominidae.
GUCGAGCGUUAGCCACCCAGCAUUGAGCUGCCAGCGGCUGUUCUCCCUAAGCACCCUCGCUCACGUCGCCUCGCCUCGCCUGACUGGCCGCAGCCUUGGAUACCAGCCUUAAAUCGAGCGGACUACGGCCCAGCCCCGCCCGCGGCGAGGUGCGCGGGGUUCGGUGCCAGCCGCUCGCCCCUGGCCGGGCCAGCCUCUUGAUGCACCGGGGACGGGCGCGCCCAUCCGACUCUUCGAGGGGCGGCAGGGCCCCAUCUGUGUCUUUCGCUCUCGAGCCCCCAGCUAGAGUUGGCUUCAGCGGAAUACCUACUGUGCAGGAUUAUUCAACAAGCCGAUUGAUCCCAUUCUUCAGCUCUAGCAGUGCAAAGGCUUCACUGAAAAAGAACAUUACAAAUUUUUUUUGAAAGAAAUUUGGGGGUAAAUUUAAUUUUAAAUACUGAUUUUUGAUAACAUUUGAUCUUAUGACAGCAUUUGUAUUUUUAAUUACAGAUAGGAUUACACUAAAAGUCAUUUCUGACCUGCUCCCUUACCCUUAUGGCUAAAAUAAACUGCUAGGCCCUGAAGCAAAGGCGAGCCAUGUUCUAGAGUAAUGUCUUUCUUGUAUUAAAAUACGGCCCCUUGCUCA